GAGUUUGAUCCUGGGUCAGAUUGAACGCUGGCGGCAUGCCUUACACAUGCAAGUCGAACGGUAACGCGGGGCAACCUGGUGACGAGUGGCGAACGGGUGAGUAAUGCAUCGGAACGUGCCCAGUAGUGGGGGAUAGCCCGGCGAAAGCCGGAUUAAUACCGCAUACGACCUGAGGGUGAAAGGGGGGGAUCGCAAGACCUCUCGCUAUUGGAGCGGCCGAUGUCAGAUUAGGUAGUUGGUGGGGUAAAGGCCUACCAAGCCUACGAUCUGUAGCUGGUCUGAGAGGACGACCAGCCACACUGGGACUGAGACACGGCCCAGACUCCUACGGGAGGCAGCAGUGGGGAAUUUUGGACAAUGGGCGCAAGCCUGAUCCAGCAAUGCCGCGUGCGGGAAGAAGGCCUUCGGGUUGUAAACCGCUUUUGUCAGGGAAGAAAUCUUCUGGGUUAAUACCUCGGGAGGAUGACGGUACCGUAAGAAUAAGCACCGGCUAACUACGUGCCAGCAGCCGCGGUAAUACGUAGGGUGCAAGCGUUAAUCGGAAUUACUGGGCGUAAAGCGUGCGCAGGCGGUUUUGUAAGACAGAGGUGAAAUCCCCGGGCUCAACCUGGGAACUGCCUUUGUGACUGCAAAGCUUGAGUGCGGCAGAGGG
RNAcentral lists this ribosomal RNA (652 nucleotides) under methanotrophic bacterium. RNAcentral's name for it is "bacterial SSU rRNA". It matches the Rfam family "Bacterial small subunit ribosomal RNA", at positions 9 to 658 of the family's 1533-position model. The record is from RNAcentral. Lineage: Bacteria; Pseudomonadati; Pseudomonadota; Alphaproteobacteria.